CCUUCGGGACGUCGCGAACUGCACCGGAGUGCAAUUCGUGAUCGUCGUCCGCUUUAAAGAACUAUAUUUGGGCGUUCGACGGCCAAAGAGCCCCCACACCCGCAUAGUGUUCCGCAUCCGAGAGAACUUGCAGCCGCUCAUGGACCGUGACAAACACGACAUACGUCGAGAAAUGUCCGGGACACAAGGACUGCUUCGAGGUCCACCCUGCGACC
RNAcentral lists this unclassified non-coding RNA (215 nucleotides) under Gironniera subaequalis. Its description in RNAcentral is "partial 26S-18S external transcribed spacer". Lineage: Eukaryota; Viridiplantae; Streptophyta; Magnoliopsida; Rosales; Cannabaceae. The record is from RNAcentral.